Molecule: long non-coding RNA, 315 nt
Filed under: Crocodylus porosus (Australian saltwater crocodile)
Lineage: Eukaryota; Metazoa; Chordata; Crocodylia; Crocodylidae
Description: lncRNA (ENSCPRG00005001544.1)
Source: RNAcentral
CACCAAUAUGCUGCUCCACAAAACUGACCCACAAAGGAGAAAUAGAGAUACACAGAGAGGUGGAAGAGAACGUCACCUUGGAAGACCUGUUUGAAUCAGUGUUAUGUAUGGAGAUGCAGCCUAUUCCCCAGUCUGCUAGAGAGUCGGAGAAAGACACCACAGACCAGCAUAAAAGUCACUUACUGGACCUGGACUGCUAUAUCUGUACUGCACAGCCAGGCCCUGAUGGCAAAGAAGGGUUUAACCCACCAAGGAACAAAUCUCGCUCUCAGAAGAAGGAAGCAAUGCUCUUCAGAAAAUUACAUUCAGCCAGAG